AUUGAACGCUGGCGGCAUGCCUUACACAUGCAAGUCGAGCGGCAGCGCGGGGGCAACCCUGGCGGCGAGCGGCGAACGGGUGAGUAAUACAUCGGAACGUGUCCAGUAGCGGGGGAGUAACCUGUCGAAAGAUAGGCUAAUACCGCAUACGAUCCACGGAUGAAAGCGGGGGACCCAAGGGCAACCGAGGGCCUCGCACUAUUGGAGCGGCCGAUGUCGGAUUAGCUAGNGGGCGGGGUAAAGGACCCACCCAAGGCGACGAUCCGUAGCUGGUCUGAGAGGACGACCAGCCACACUGGAACUGAGACACGGUCCAGACUCCUACGGGAGGCAGCAGUGGGGAAUCUUGCGCAAUGGGCGAAAGCCUGACGCAGCGACGCCGCGUGAGGGAUGACGGCCUCGGUUGUAACCG
This 412-nucleotide ribosomal RNA is filed under the name uncultured bacterium. RNAcentral describes it as "bacterial SSU rRNA". It matches the Rfam family "Bacterial small subunit ribosomal RNA", at positions 29 to 431 of the family's 1533-position model. The record is from RNAcentral.